CCGGCCAAUGGGCUGUAAGCUGAGUCAGCGCUGGGGCCUCUCCGGGGCUGGGGGGAGCUGCCCCUGAGGAAUAUGAUCUGGAUACUAUUUUAGCUCUGCUGGCAUGAAGACAUUCUACCGCAAACAGAAACAAGGAAGUCUUCACAGAAGUAAAGAGAUUCCUUUCUGUGGGCUGGGGAAGACUACCCAGGAACAGCUUCAUCAGAUUCCAGAAUUUGCGAGAUUCUGCCUGUGUGAAGUGUUCCUAAAAUCAAGAACUUUGCUUCAAAAUGCAUGAGAACUAUGUAUCCUAUUAGCUGAGCUUUUUUGUGAUGCAGUUAAUAACCCC
Mauremys mutica (yellowpond turtle) is the source of this 328-nucleotide long non-coding RNA. RefSeq lists it as uncharacterized. The transcript is spliced from 4 exons. NCBI's taxonomy places the organism in Eukaryota, Metazoa, Chordata, Testudines, Geoemydidae. The record is from RefSeq and is a predicted model, not a curated record.